UCAAUGGCCAUUUUUGCAAUAGAUUCAUCUUGAACAUUGCUAGCCACCGAAAUGGCGAACAAGAAAGAGAGGAUGCUCUGAACGUAAAGAGACAUUUCAAACUGAAGUUCCAAUUGCUCAGGUACGCCGAAUUUAAAGGUGAAAUUUCGGGGAAUUCCGAAAUAUAUCUGCCAGAAUCCCUGAAAAACGAAGGGCAUCUCUGUUCCCUUUCAUCAUCCAUACGGUCUGUGAAACGCCUUCAGCCAACGACCUCUUCAUUGUAGACUGGCCAUACGACCUCAUGAGACG
Molecule: long non-coding RNA, 288 nt
Organism: Daphnia carinata
Lineage: Eukaryota; Metazoa; Arthropoda; Branchiopoda; Diplostraca; Daphniidae
Exons: 3
Source: RefSeq, a predicted model, not a curated record